GCGACCCCAGGUCAGGCGGGAUCACCCGCUGAGUUUAAGCAUAUCA
RNAcentral lists this ribosomal RNA (46 nucleotides) under Oreocharis magnidens. Its description in RNAcentral is "partial 28S ribosomal RNA". Lineage: Eukaryota; Viridiplantae; Streptophyta; Magnoliopsida; Lamiales; Gesneriaceae. The record is from RNAcentral.